RNAcentral lists this ribosomal RNA (985 nucleotides) under Lactiplantibacillus plantarum. RNAcentral describes it as "bacterial SSU rRNA". It matches the Rfam family "Bacterial small subunit ribosomal RNA", at positions 71 to 1029 of the family's 1533-position model. Lineage: Bacteria; Bacillati; Bacillota; Bacilli; Lactobacillales; Lactobacillaceae. The record is from RNAcentral.
GAUUGGUGCUUGCAUCAUGAUUUACAUUUGAGUGAGUGGCGAACUGGUGAGUAACACGUGGGAAACCUGCCCAGAAGCGGGGGAUAACACCUGGAAACAGAUGCUAAUACCGCAUAACAACUUGGACCGCAUGGUCCGAGUUUGAAAGAUGGCUUCGGCUAUCACUUUUGGAUGGUCCCGCGGCGUAUUAGCUAGAUGGUGGGGUAACGGCUCACCAUGGCAAUGAUACGUAGCCGACCUGAGAGGGUAAUCGGCCACAUUGGGACUGAGACACGGCCCAAACUCCUACGGGAGGCAGCAGUAGGGAAUCUUCCACAAUGGACGAAAGUCUGAUGGAGCAACGCCGCGUGAGUGAAGAAGGGUUUCGGCUCGUAAAACUCUGUUGUUAAAGAAGAACAUAUCUGAGAGUAACUGUUCAGGUAUUGACGGUAUUUAACCAGAAAGCCACGGCUAACUACGUGCCAGCAGCCGCGGUAAUACGUAGGUGGCAAGCGUUGUCCGGAUUUAUUGGGCGUAAAGCGAGCGCAGGCGGUUUUUUAAGUCUGAUGUGAAAGCCUUCGGCUCAACCGAAGAAGUGCAUCGGAAACUGGGAAACUUGAGUGCAGAAGAGGACAGUGGAACUCCAUGUGUAGCGGUGAAAUGCGUAGAUAUAUGGAAGAACACCAGUGGCGAAGGCGGCUGUCUGGUCUGUAACUGACGCUGAGGCUCGAAAGUAUGGGUAGCAAACAGGAUUAGAUACCCUGGUAGUCCAUACCGUAAACGAUGAAUGCUAAGUGUUGGGAGGGUUUCCGCCCUUCAGUGCUGCAGCUAACGCAUUAAGCAUUCCGCCUGGGGAGUACGGCCGCAAGGCUGAAACUCAAAGGAAUUGACGGGGGCCCGCACAAGCGGUGGAACAUGUGGUUUAAUUCGAAGCUACGCGAAGAACCUUACCAGGUCUUGACAUACUAUGCAAAUCUAAGAGAUUAGACGUUCCCUUCGGGGACAU